UACGAAGGGGGCUAGCGUUGUUCGGAAUUACUGGGCGUAAAGCGCACGUAGGCGGACUAUUAAGUCAGGGGUGAAAUCCCGGGGCUCAACCCCGGAACUGCCUUUGAUACUGGUAGUCUAGAGUCCGGAAGAGGUGAGUGGAAUUCCGAGUGUAGAGGUGAAAUUCGUAGAUAUUCGCAAGAACACCAGUGGCGAAGGCGGCUCACUGGCCCGGUACUGACGCUGAGGUGCGAAAGCGUGGGGAGCAAACAGG
Molecule: ribosomal RNA, 253 nt
Filed under: uncultured bacterium
Lineage: Bacteria
Description: partial 16S ribosomal RNA
Rfam family: Bacterial small subunit ribosomal RNA
Source: RNAcentral